GUUUUUGGUCAAUCUCAGAAGUUUAUUGACUCAUUGAAGAUGGAAAAAGAAUACCCAAUGGAUGAGAUGUUGAAUGAAGCUGUAACUUUGGCCUCAUGUUCUUAUGAGGAAAACACUGAAUGGGGAAAAAAGAUUGGGUUCUCGUAUGACUGUUUGCUGGAGAGCACCUUCACUGGGUAUCUGCUGCAAUGCAAAGGAUGGACUUCUGCUUAUCUAUACCCAAAGCGACCAUGCUUCCUCGGUUGCAGCCCCGUUGACAUGAAAGACGCCAUGGUUCAGAU
RNAcentral lists this unclassified non-coding RNA (281 nucleotides) under Hevea brasiliensis (rubber tree). The record is from RNAcentral. Lineage: Eukaryota; Viridiplantae; Streptophyta; Magnoliopsida; Malpighiales; Euphorbiaceae.